UUCUCAGAAAAAGUGUUGUUAGAUUACAUUUAGCCAAAAAUACUGCAAUCAAUGAAUUUUUUUUUAUAAAUAUGUUUUAGACCCUUAAAAGACAGAAAAACACUACACGUUAAUGCAUUUUUUCAUGACUUUUCUCAGAAAAAUGUCUUAUUAGGGUUCUUUAAUUAAAUAAAUAAUAGUUACAUUUGUGAUUUAGCAGAAAAGUUGCAACAAAGCAACUUAAAUUGGAAGGAAACAGUUACAGUUUACAAAACGUGUUUAAUUAUAACCUAUUUAAGUAAAUUUUGGGUACAUGUACAAUAAUAGGGUGGAGGGAUAAAGCAGUUUAUGAAGAGAUUCUAAUAUUGGUGAUACAUUCUCUGCUAAUGUUUACCAUAAUAUAGUUAUAUAUCUCCAGAUGCUUCAUGCAAACUAGUGUUUUUUUUGCAUAGCAGCUGCUGACCUUCCACUGAGCUGCUGCGGUACAGCAGUCACAGCUUUCCCCGGUCCCGUGUUCUCCUGCAGUUUGGACAAGCUGGACAGCCGAACUCCAAUGGGGUCAGAGAAGUCUGGCAAAGGCCCAAUAAGAAGUCCAGCCAGUGAACAUCCCAGCAGCAGAGCAGCACAGCCCAGCAGGAGCAGCAGCGGAUAGUCCACGAUCAGCCGGGAGUAACUGCAGGAAACAGGAGAAUGCUUCAGUAACGCCAAAAAAACGAGAACAUUAAAAAAAA
Oryzias melastigma (Indian medaka) is the source of this 710-nucleotide long non-coding RNA. RefSeq lists it as uncharacterized. The transcript has 2 exons. Lineage: Eukaryota; Metazoa; Chordata; Actinopteri; Beloniformes; Adrianichthyidae. The record is from RefSeq and is a predicted model, not a curated record.